CCUUCGGGUUGUAAAGCACUUUCAUAAGGAAGAAGUUGGUAUCGCUAAUAUCGAUAUUAAUUGACGUUACUUAUAAAAGAAGCACCGGCUAACUCCGUGCCAGCAGCCGCGGUAAUACGGGGGGUGCUAGCGUUAAUCGGAAUUACUGGGCGUAAAGCGUGCGCAGGUGGUUUAUUAAGUCAGGUGUGAAAUCCCUAAGCUUAACUUAGGAACUGCACUUGAAACUGAUAGGCUAGAGUUUCGUAGAGGGGGGUAGAAUUCCAGGUGUAGCGGUGAAAUGCGUAGAGAUCUGGAGGAAUACCGGUGGCGAAGGCGGCCCCCUGGACGAAAACUGACACUCAGGUACGAAAGCAUGGGGAGCAAACAGGAUUAGAUACCCUGGUAGUCCAUGCCGUAAACGAUGUCGAUUUGAAGGUUGUGGUCUUUGAACUGUAACUUUCGGAGCUAACGUGUUAAAUCGACCGCCUGGGGAGUACGACCGCAAGGUUAAAACUCAAAUGAAUUGACGGGGGCCCGCACAAGCGGUGGAGCAUGUGGUUUAAUUCGAUGCAACACGAAGAACCUUACCUACUCUUGACAUCCAAAGAACUAUUUAGAAAUAAAUGGGUGCCUUCGGGAACUUUGAGACAGGUGCUGCAUGGCUGUCGUCAGCUCGUGUUGUGAAAUGUUGGGUUAAGUCCCGCAACGAGCGCAACCCUUAUCCUUUGUUGCCAGCGAGUUAAGUCGGGAACUCAAAGGAGACUGCCGGUGAUAAACCGGAGGAAGGUGAGGA
Molecule: ribosomal RNA, 772 nt
Filed under: Blochmannia endosymbiont of Camponotus consobrinus
Lineage: Bacteria; Pseudomonadati; Pseudomonadota; Gammaproteobacteria; Enterobacterales; Enterobacteriaceae
Description: bacterial SSU rRNA
Rfam family: Bacterial small subunit ribosomal RNA
Source: RNAcentral